CACCAGGAGCUUCACAAGCCUUUUUAUGCGGUCAGUCCAUACGUAUUACAACUACAAUAUUAAGAUUGCCGCUUAUUCUGUUGAUUAUUUCGUUAUCCACUAAAAAAAUUUCCCAAGAAAAUCUGAAUUUGCCAUGAAAGUUCUGGUGCUAGCCCCUUCUCUAUAUAAGGCUUUUUCUCCUCUCUCUCUUCGCAAUCCUUUCUUGUUUCCAUACGCUUCUUCAUCUAUUUUCACCCUUUCCAAGCAUCUCCAUUUCAAUCCCAUGGCUGCUUGUGUUGACACUCCUAGAACGGACACCUCUCAUCUUUCUCGCGAUCCAAACAAGUCUCAAGCGGAUGAUAACUUUUACAAUUAUGCGAAAUUUUGUCAACCCAGUUUCUCUGAUCGUGUUUCUGGCUUACCCUUUACCAAGAAUCAUAUGAAAACCAUGCAUACGCAGUCUGUUGUUGAAGAUCUCCACCACGAAUACGAUGAUAGAGAAGAUCCAUGGCUCAAAAUGCAGGAGGAAGCCAGGUUAGAUGUUGAGCAGGAACCAAUUCUAUCCAGCUACUACUAUACCUCCAUUUUGUCUCAGAAGACACUAGAAAGGGCGUUGGCGAAUCAUCUCGCAAUCAAGUUGAGCAAUUCUAGCCUUCCUAGUAGUACUUUGUUCGAUAUUUUUGUAGGGGUUCUUGAAGAGAAUCGAGACAUCAUUAGUGCGGUGAAGGAGGAUUUGAUAGCUGUGAAGGAAAGAGAUCCGGCGUGCAUAAGCUACGUGCACUGUUUCUUGAAUUUCAAGGGGUUUCUGGCGUGCCAAGCCCAUAGAGUAGCGCAUAAAUUAUGGACCCAAGGUAGAAAUGUUUUAGCUAUAUUGAUACAAAACAGAGUAUCUGAGGCUUUUGCAGUCGAUAUUCAUCCAGGAGCAAGGAUUGGACAUGGUAUAUUACUCGAUCAUGCUACAGGAGUAGUUGUUGGAGAGACUGCUGUGAUUGGGAACAAUGUGUCAAUCCUGCAUAAUGUGACUUUAGGUGGUACUGGGAAGAUUUCUGGAGACAGGCAUCCAAAGAUUGGUGAUGGGGUUUUGAUUGGGGCUGGGACUUGUAUUUUGGGUAACAUUAGGAUUGGUGAUGGAGCCAAGAUUGGGGCUUGUUCUGUGGUGUUGAAGGACGUGCCACCCAGGACCACUGCUGUUGGUAACCCAGCUAGAUUGGUUGGAGGGAAGCAGAACCCAAUUAAGCUUGACAAGAUUCCCAGUUUUACCAUGGACCACACUUCGCACAUAGCUGAGUGGUCUGAUUAUGUUAUUUAGAUGGCUUUUUUCCUAGUUAGAAUUUGGAAAUUUUGGUUGGUAUUUUGGGAUUUGAGAAUUUGCCUUCUGUUGUAUUUGAGAACCGAAGUUCUCUUAGUGAACAGAGAAGGCUGUGUUCUAAUCCUACCUAGUGAUAAUAUAAUCUUACCUUAGUGUUUUAAUUUUAUUCCAAUUCUGUUGGAUUUGAU
Molecule: unclassified non-coding RNA, 1476 nt
Filed under: Hevea brasiliensis (rubber tree)
Lineage: Eukaryota; Viridiplantae; Streptophyta; Magnoliopsida; Malpighiales; Euphorbiaceae
Source: RNAcentral